RNAcentral lists this ribosomal RNA (253 nucleotides) under uncultured bacterium. RNAcentral describes it as "partial 16S ribosomal RNA". It matches the Rfam family "Bacterial small subunit ribosomal RNA", at positions 524 to 776 of the family's 1533-position model. The record is from RNAcentral.
GACGGAAGGUGCAAGCGUUGCUCGGAAUCACUGGGCGUAAAGGGUGCGUAGGCGGCUUCUUAAGUCUGGUGUGAAAGCCCAGGGCUCAGCUCUGGAAGCGCACUAGAAACUGAGGAGCUUGAGUACCGGAGGGGAGAGUGGAAUUCCUGGUGUAGCGGUGAAAUGCGUAGAUAUCAGGAGGAAUACCGGUGGCGAAAGCGACUCUCUGGACGGUUACUGACGCUGAGGCACGAAAGCGUGGGGAGCAAACAGG